This 460-nucleotide ribosomal RNA is filed under the name uncultured bacterium. Its description in RNAcentral is "partial 16S ribosomal RNA". It matches the Rfam family "Bacterial small subunit ribosomal RNA", at positions 338 to 795 of the family's 1533-position model. The record is from RNAcentral.
CCUACGGGAGGCAGCAGUGAGGAAUAUUGGUCAAUGGACGAGAGUCUGAACCAGCCAAGUAGCGUGAAGGAUGACUGCCCUAUGGGUUGUAAACUUCUUUUAUAUGGGAAUAAAAUGUUCCACGUGUGGGAUUUUGUAUGUACCAUAUGAAUAAGGAUCGGCUAACUCCGUGCCAGCAGCCGCGGUAAUACGGAGGAUCCGAGCGUUAGCCGGAUUUAUUGGGUUUAAAGGGAGCGUAGGUGGAUUGUUAAGUCAGUUGUGAAAGUCUGCGGCUCAACCGUAAAAUUGCAGUUGAAACUGGCAGUCUUGAGUACAGUAGAGGUGGGCGGAAUUCGUGGUGUAGCGGUGAAAUGCUUAGAUAUCACGAAGAACUCCGAUUGCGAAGGCAGUUCACUGGACUGCAACUGACACUGAGGCUCGAAAGUGUGGGUAUCAAACAGGAUUAGAUACCCGGGUAGUC